RNAcentral lists this unclassified non-coding RNA (149 nucleotides) under uncultured Candida. RNAcentral describes it as "sequence contains ITS1". Lineage: Eukaryota; Fungi; Ascomycota; Saccharomycetes; Saccharomycetales. The record is from RNAcentral.
CUGAUUUGCUUAAUUGCACCACAUGUGUUUUCUAUUAUUAUGAAACUUUCUUUGGCGGUGAGACGUAAAACUCACGCCGCCAGAGGUUUACUUAAAACUUAACUUUAAUUUUUAUUAGUCAUAUUUUGUUAUUAUUUAUUUAAUAGUCA